This 205-nucleotide ribosomal RNA is filed under the name Clostridioides difficile. RNAcentral describes it as "partial 23S ribosomal RNA". It matches the Rfam family "Bacterial large subunit ribosomal RNA", at positions 2718 to 2925 of the family's 2925-position model. The record is from RNAcentral. Lineage: Bacteria; Bacillati; Bacillota; Clostridia; Peptostreptococcales; Peptostreptococcaceae.
CAGUUGUUCUGCCAAGGGCAUGGCUGGGUAGCUAUGUACGGAAUGGAUAAGCGCUGAAAGCAUCUAAGCGCGAAGCCAACUUCAAGAUAAGAUUUCCCACCGCAAGGGUAAGACCCCAGAAAGACUAUCUGGUUGAUAGGUCGAAGGUGUAAGUGCAGCAAUGUAUUUAGCUUAUCGAUACUAAUAGGUCGAGGACUUGACCAAU